GCAAGCCGGAGGAAGGUGGGGAUGACGUCAAAUCAUCAUGCCCCUUAUGACCUGGGCUACACACGUGCUACAAUGGAUAGUACAAAGGGUCGCGAAGCCGCGAGGUGGAGCUAAUCCCAUAAAACUAUUCUCAGUUCGGAUUGUAGGCUGCAACUCGCCUACAUGAAGCCGGAAUCGCUAGUAAUCGUGGAUCAGCAUGCCACGGUGAAUACGUUCCCGGGCCUUGUACACACCGCCCGUCACACCACGAGAGUUUGUAACACCCGAAGUCGGUAGGGUAACCUUUAUGGAGCCAGCCGCCGAAGGUGGGACAGAUAAUUGGGGUGAAGUCGUAACAAGGUAGCCGUAUCGGAAGGUGCGGCUGGAUCACCUCCUUUCUAAGGAA
RNAcentral lists this ribosomal RNA (385 nucleotides) under Listeria monocytogenes. RNAcentral's name for it is "bacterial SSU rRNA". It matches the Rfam family "Bacterial small subunit ribosomal RNA", at positions 1158 to 1533 of the family's 1533-position model. Lineage: Bacteria; Bacillati; Bacillota; Bacilli; Caryophanales; Listeriaceae. The record is from RNAcentral.